UACGUAGGCAGCAAGCGUUGUUCGGAGUUACUGGGCGUAAAGGGUGUGUAGGCGGUUGCUUAAGUUUGGUGUGAAAUCUCCCGGCUCAACUGGGAGGGUGCGCCGAAUACUGAGUGACUAGAGUGCGGGAGAGGAGAGUGGAAUUCCUGGUGUAGCGGUGAAAUGCGUAGAUAUCAGGAGGAACACCGGUGGUGUAGACGGCUCUCUGGACAGAGUCUGACGCUGAGGCGCGAAAGCUAGGGGAGCAAACAGG
RNAcentral lists this ribosomal RNA (253 nucleotides) under uncultured bacterium. RNAcentral describes it as "partial 16S ribosomal RNA". It matches the Rfam family "Bacterial small subunit ribosomal RNA", at positions 524 to 776 of the family's 1533-position model. The record is from RNAcentral.